GGACCCGCACAAGCGGUGGAGCAUGUGGUUUAAUUCGAUGCAACGCGAAAAACCUUACCUACUCUUGACAUACUUGGGAGCUCUUGUAAUGAGAGUGUGCCUUAUGGAACCAAGAUACAGGUGCUGCAUGGCUGUCGUCAGCUCGUGUCGUGAGAUGUUCCGUUAAGUCCGGCAACGAGCGCAACCCUUACCCUUAUUUGCCAGCGGUUCGGCCGGGAACUAUAAGGGGACUGCCGGUGAUAAACCGGAGGAAGGUGAGGACGACGUCAAGUCAUCAUGGCCCUUACGAGUAGGGCUACACACGUGCUACAAUGGGAAGUACAGAGGGACGCCAAAGCGCGAGCUGGAGCUAAUCUCAUAAAACUUUCGUAGUCCGGAUUGCAGUCUGCAACUCGACUGCAUGAAGUCGGAAUC
RNAcentral lists this ribosomal RNA (414 nucleotides) under uncultured bacterium. RNAcentral describes it as "bacterial SSU rRNA". It matches the Rfam family "Bacterial small subunit ribosomal RNA", at positions 917 to 1333 of the family's 1533-position model. The record is from RNAcentral.